This is a long non-coding RNA of Bos grunniens (domestic yak), 3683 nucleotides long. The record is from Ensembl. NCBI's taxonomy places the organism in Eukaryota, Metazoa, Chordata, Mammalia, Artiodactyla, Bovidae.
AUGAAUGUUGUGUCCUGUGUGAGGUCAGUCACUCAGUGCUUGGGAGAGGGGUGGACUCAAGGCCUCAGACCAGGAGGAGAGAGGAGACCCCAGCACAGUGAGGUCAUGCUUUCAGAGUUGAAAGACCUGGGUUUUACUCCCGAGUAUGGCAACUUCAAACUGCAAGACCUUGGAAAAGAAGGCGCCCUCUCCAACCCUUCAUGUAAAAUGAGGCCUACGAUCACUGCCCUGGGUGCCUCUCAGACCACAGUGAAGAAUCAAAUAAAACAAUGCAAGAGAAGUACUAUUAGGAGAUCGACAGUGACUGCAACUACUCCUGUUAUCACUUCCUACUAUUACUCCUGCUACGGCCAACAGCAGUGGCCAAGCCCUGAGCAGCUGCUUCAGGGGCCAGACAUUGUCUCACUGACUUCCAAUAUAAAGACUCUUUAUACUUGAAAAUAUGUGAAAGCAUAAAAAUAAUUUUAAAUUAUAUAUUUGUGUUGGUUACAAUAGUGUUUAAAUACAUUUUAAAAUGUCCCAUGUACAAUUUACUUUCUAUCAAAAAAUGCUUGGGUAUAGAUGAAAAAACAACAAACAAAUGCUUGGCAUCCUUCUGGAUUUACAGCCCUCCUGUAACAACAACUGUAGUUUCUCUCAUUCAACUAAAUCAUCUAAAUAAUCCUAUGAUGUGGGUCGUUUCCCCAUUUUACAGAUGAAAAUAAUGAGGAUCAGCAAUACCACAGACUUAGGAAAUGGUGGAGCCAAGAUCCAAUAACAGAUUGACUCCAAAUUUUGUGCCCUUCCCACUGCACUACACCAAACAUCUUCCAAACCUAGAAGAAGUUCAGCACAUCUUCACCUUAGAUGGGGCCUUCCCAGGUGGCACUGGUAGUAAAGAACAUGCUUGCCAAUGCAGGAGACAUAAGAGAUGCAGGUUCAAUCCCUGGGUUGGGAAGAUCCCCUGGAGAAGGACCUGAAAACCCACUCCAUUAUUCUUGCCUGGAGAAUCCCAUGGACAGAGGAGCCUGGUGGGCUAUAGUCCAUAGUGUCAAAAAGAGUUGGACACGACUGAAGUGACUUAGCACACAUGCUCGAAGCUUAGAUGAUUGAUUUGACACUUUCCCUCUUUUCUAAUGUGUGUAUUAGUGUUAUGAAUUUCCCUGUAAACACUGCUUUAAAAAAACUAAACUACAGUUGAUUUACAACAUCAUCUUUGUUUCCGGUAUACAACAGCAACUCAACAUUUUUAUAGAUUAUACGCCAUUUAACAUCACCACAAAAUAGUGAUUAUAUUGUGCUGUACAUACCUCCCUCUAGCCUAUUCAUUUUUUCAGUGGUCCUUCUAAUUUAUUUUUAAAUUUAUUUUUAAUUGGAGGACAAUUGCUUUCCAAUAUUGUGUUGACUACUGCCAUAUAUCAGCGUGAAUUGGCCAAUGUCCCCUCCCUCUUGAACCUCCCCCGACGCCUUCAGUCUAUUACAGAGCACGGACUGAGCUCCCUGCAUCACAUAGCCAGUUCCCCCUCCGUAUCUGUUUUACCUAUGGUGAUGUACAGGUUCAUGUUCUGAUGCUACUCUCUCAGUUCGUCUCACCUUCUCCAUUCAUCUCAUGACAGCAGUUUGUACCUCUCAAUCCCUAAUCCCACCUCACCUCUCCCCACUGGUAAUCACCAGCCUGUUCUCUGUAUCUGGGAGUCUGCUUCUGUUUUACUGUGCCACAUUUUAAUUACAUUUAGUUUCAAAUAGUUUUAAAAUCUCCUUGAGCGUUCCUCUUUGAUUUAUGGAUUAUUUAGAACUAUGUUAAUUAGUUUCAACUUUGGGGCAUUUUCCUGUUUUCUUUCUGUCACUGAUUACCAGUUUGAGUUCCUUGGGGAUUACACGCUGUAUUUUUUCAGUUCUUUUAGUCUGUUGAGAUUUAUUUUACGGAGCAGGAUAAGAUCUACUGAUACCUUUGUUUAAUGGACACUUGAAAAGUAUACAUAUUUUGCUAUUAUUGGGUGGAGUAUUAUACAAACAGUGAUUAGGUUCUGUGUUUUGAUGGUGUUGCUGAGUUCUCCAUCCUUUCUGAUUUCAUACCUAGUUGUUCCAUCAAUUGUUAAGAGAAGGAUGCGAAAUCUCCAACUGUAAUUAUGGGUUUGUCCACUACUCCUUUCAGUGCUAUUUGUUCUUGCUUUGCAUAAUUUGCAUUGUUUGGUGCACACACAUUUAGGAUUUCCACGUCUCCUUGGUAGACUGACCCUCUUAUUAUAACUUAAUGUCCAUAGCUGAUUCUGGUAAUUUUAUUUGCUCUGAAGUCUACUUUAUCCUAUAUUGAUAUAGUCACUCAUACAUUUUACUUAAUGUUUGCAUGAUAAAUAUUUUCACAUCAUUUUGCUUUCAACCUGUUUACAUCAUAUUUAAGUGAGUGUCUUAUGGACAUUAUGUAGUUGAUUUUUUUUUUUUUUUUUUUUACUUCACUCUGCUAAUCUGCCUUUAUAUUGAUGUAGUCAAUCUAUUUACAUUUAAUGUAAAUACUAAUGUUAGGACUUAAGUCUUUCAUUUUAUCUUUUGUUGCCUGUUUCUUCUCUCUGAUUCUCACUUCUCUUUUCUUUCUCCUGCUUUCCUAUGGGUUACUAACCCAUUCUUUAGGUUUCCAUUUUUAUUUACCUAUCUUGGCUUCUUGUGUAUCUUCUUGUGCUUAGGGGCUUCCCAGAUGGUGCUAGUGGUAAAGAACCCUCCUGCCAACUCAGGGGACGAAAGAGACACUAUAUAUACGUGACACCACAGUCUACUGGUGCCAUAAUUUUACCAAUUCAAGUAAGUGUAAAACCUUACUCCUUUUAUAUCUGUUUACCUCCCUUCUUUAAUUAUACUUUUCUUAGAUAUUUUCUCUACAUACUUAGAACCACAUCAGAAGUGUUAUAAUUUGUGCUUCAAUCAUAUAACCUAACUUAGAAGAUUAAAGAAGAGUCUUUGCCCUCAUAUUAUUGCUUACCGUGCUUUUUUCCUCUUCCUGAUAUUCCAAGAUUCCUUUGUGCAUUUUUUCCUUCUGUUAAAGAACCUCCUUUAGCCAUUCUUUUAGGCUAGGGCCUGCUGGUGACAAAUUACCUUAGUUUUACUUCAUAUGAGAAUAUCUUCAUGUUCCCUCCAUCCCUGAAGGAUAUUUUCCUUGGAUAAAAUAUUCAAGGAAUAUUCUGGGUUAACAUCCUUCAGCACUUGAGAAACUGUGCCAGUUCGUUCUGACCUCCAUGGUUUCUAAUAAGAAACCCACUACCAUUGAACUCUUCUCUUCCUACAGGUAAAAGAUUGUUUCUCUCUGUGGUUUUAAGAUUUUUUUUUCCUGUUUUUAGCUUUCUGAAGUUUUACUAAGAUAUGUCCUAGUGUGAUUUUGGUUUUAUCCUGUUUAGCAUUCACUUAUUUUCUUGAAUCUGUGGGGUUUUAUAUUUUGCCAAAUUUGGGGGAUUUUCAGUCAGUUCUUUGAGUACUUUCUCAGUUCAGUUCAGUCGCUCAGUAGUAUCUGACUCUGCAACCCUAUGGACUGCAGCACACCAGGCUUCCCUGUCCAUCACCAAUUCCUGGAGCUUGCUCAAACUCAUGUUCAUCGAGUCUGUGAUGCCAUCCAACCAUCUUAUCCUCUGUCGUCCCCUUCUCUUCCUGCCCUCAAUCUUUCCCAGCAUCAGGGUCUUUUCAGUGAGUCAGUUCUUCACAUCAGGUGACCAAAGUAU